CCAACUUCUGAGACUUCAAUCCACAAAAACCUUUACACACUUUAAUUUAAGUGUUAGAUUGAGCUUUAAAUUUGUACACAUAUUCAAAACUAAUACACCAAGAUACUAUCCGAAAUUCACUCAUACAUACAAUACAAAAUUUAAGAAAUCUUUAAAUUUAUAAACAUAUUUUUAUUUUUCAAUAUCUAAACCAAUCAAGAACAACUUUAAUUUUGAAAAUAUCUCAAAAACUCAAUAUUUAUUUAAUUGACAUAAAAUUAAUACACAAAAAUCUUUCUUUUAAUUUAUUUUUAAAUUCUACUCUCCAAUCUACCAAAGAACCUCAAAGUUGCCAUGUGUAUAUGGAUUUGUACCUCAUGAUUUGAUUUUGAUCUAGAUUGACAAUUGGACCUCUUGGGUAUCAAUUUUUAAUAAUUUGAGGUAAGUUUUACUUUAUUCUAUUGUUAAUUUUUUUAUAAAUAUGCUUAUAUUAAUCUCUUAUCUCAUUUAUUUUGAUUUGGCUCAUUUAUGCCUUUACAAAGUAAAUAGAAGUUUUUUCUAGAAAAAGGCAGUGUUAAGAUUAAUAAAGGUAAUAAAGCUUCAUACUUCAAAGUCCCUCC
Molecule: long non-coding RNA, 599 nt
Filed under: Physcomitrium patens
Lineage: Eukaryota; Viridiplantae; Streptophyta; Bryopsida; Funariales; Funariaceae
Description: long non-coding RNA (PPAT_LNC012666)
Source: RNAcentral